UACGAAAGGUGCGAGCGUUAAUCGGAAUUACUGGGCGUAAAGCGUGCGUAGGCGGCUAUUUAAGUCGGAUGUGAAAGCCCCGGGCUCAACCUGGGAGGUGCAUCCGAUACUGGGUAGCUAGAGUGUAGUAGAGGGAGGUGGAAUUUCCGGUGUAGCGGUGAAAUGCGUAGAGAUCUGAAGGAACAUCAGUGGCGAAGGCGACUCACUGGGCCAUUACUGACACUGAGGUGCGAAAGCGUGGGUAGCAAACAGG
This 253-nucleotide ribosomal RNA is filed under the name uncultured bacterium. Its description in RNAcentral is "partial 16S ribosomal RNA". It matches the Rfam family "Bacterial small subunit ribosomal RNA", at positions 524 to 776 of the family's 1533-position model. The record is from RNAcentral.